RNAcentral lists this ribosomal RNA (250 nucleotides) under uncultured bacterium. RNAcentral's name for it is "partial 16S ribosomal RNA". It matches the Rfam family "Bacterial small subunit ribosomal RNA", at positions 525 to 775 of the family's 1533-position model. The record is from RNAcentral.
ACGUAUGGACCGAGCGUUGUCCGGAAUCAUUGGGCGUAAAGGGUACGUAGGCGGCCUAGUAAGUUAGAAGUGAAAUAAUAUAGCUCAACUAUAUAAAGCUUUUAAAACUGUUAGGCUUGAGAGAUGAAAGGGAAAGUGGAAUUCCUAGUGUAGCGGUGAAAUGCGCAGAUAUUAGGAAGAAUACCGGUGGCGAAGGCGACUUUCUGGUCAUCAUCUGACGCUGAGGUACGAAAGCGUGGGUAGCAAACAG